RNAcentral lists this ribosomal RNA (468 nucleotides) under uncultured bacterium. RNAcentral's name for it is "partial 16S ribosomal RNA". It matches the Rfam family "Bacterial small subunit ribosomal RNA", at positions 28 to 507 of the family's 1533-position model. The record is from RNAcentral.
GACGAACGCUGGCGGCGUGCUUAACACAUGCAAGUCGAACGGAAAGGCCCUGCUUUUGUGGUGUGCUCGAGUGGCGAUCGGGUGAGUAACACGUGUGUAACCUGCCCUUCUCUUUGGUAUAACUUCACGUAACUGGGGCUACUCUCGUAUAGGAUCUCCUGCUCCAUUGUGGGGGUUGGAUAUUUUCGGCGGUUGGGGAUGGACUCGCGGCUUAUCAGCUUGUUGGUUGGGUAGUGGCUUACCAAGGCUUUGACGGAUAGCCGGCCUGUGAGGGUGACCGGGGAAAAGGGGACUGAGAGAGGGCGCAGAGUGGAACGGGAGGCAGCAGUGGGAAAUAUGGCACAAUGGGCGGAAGCGGGAGGAAGAAACGCCGCGGGCGGGAUGACGGCCUGCGGGGUGAAAAACGCAUUCGGAUGAGACGAAGCGUGAGUGACGGUAAUGGGUAAAGAAGCACCGGCUAACUACGUG